UACGAAGGGGGCUAGCGUUGUUCGGAAUUACUGGGCGUAAAGCGUGCGCAGGCGGCUUCUCAAGUCAGGGGUGAAAGCCCAGAGCUCAACUCUGGAACUGCCUUUGAGACUGAGAGGCUUGAGUACGGGAGAGGUGAGUGGAAUUCCCAGUGUAGAGGUGAAAUUCGUAGAUAUUGGGAAGAACACCGGUGGCGAAGGCGGCUCACUGGCCCGAAACUGACGCUCAUGCACGACAGCGUGGGGAUCAAACAGA
This 253-nucleotide ribosomal RNA is filed under the name uncultured bacterium. Its description in RNAcentral is "partial 16S ribosomal RNA". It matches the Rfam family "Bacterial small subunit ribosomal RNA", at positions 524 to 776 of the family's 1533-position model. The record is from RNAcentral.